Molecule: long non-coding RNA, 2104 nt
Organism: Eleginops maclovinus (Patagonian blennie)
Lineage: Eukaryota; Metazoa; Chordata; Actinopteri; Perciformes; Eleginopidae
Exons: 5
Source: RefSeq, a predicted model, not a curated record
GAAACUACAAUAGUAGCCUAAAUACAGAACAACUGUUUAAUAACUUAACUGGGCUAGGUUGGAGUAAAACACAAACCUCCUUUUCCAGUAUCUCCUUGUUCUUGAUGGAACCUCAUAUUCCGAAUCAGGGGCAGUGUAUUUUCUUGUCCUUCCGUCCAUGCCUCUCUUCUUGUGGAACGACGGAACCCUCAACGUCAUCAAACAAUGCUUCAACAGUGACUGGACAGCUCACUCCGUUGCCGCUCGGUUUCCAGUGGUAAAUAAAUAUCCCAUCCUUUUUCUCUACGUUUUGUAAAGCGAGCACGUUGUAGAUAAAUGAUACCGAAGCUAAAACGUUGUAUUGAUGAUACGGAGGCUAAAGCAGAAGUUAAAACGUUGUAUUAAAUUGACCAACGGAACCUAAAAAACAACACUACCCAGAAUCCUACGGUAUAAAAGCAACGUUUCGUCAACGGUCGAGCUAGUUGUCACAUGGGUAGAAUAGGCGCGAAUGUCAAGCUGCGCAACCAGAACAAUUUUAGCAAGGUAAACAAGCUACUCCGAGUCUGUGCGGGCCCUCAGCGGUGAGAGGAGAAAAUGAAGUUUGCACUGGUGAGCUGGUCAAAAGGGAAGGAUAAAGAUGCUCUCAGUGUAGUCCCCAUAAAUGGGAUCGUAGACUUCGAUCCUGAAGACUCUAACAAGGAGUAUCUUAUCGAGUGCUGCAGUGGCAAGAGGCCUUCGAAUGGAUGGUUGGUUGAACCAGCACACAUUUUGCAGUUGGCAGGCAAGUACAGUUAUCAUUAUUAUUUUCACUUUGUUAGCCAUGAAAUAUUAAUCAGCUGUAAGCUGUUAACUUCGGGACAGUGAAAAGCUAGCUAACGUUAGCUUUAGCUAAUGAAGCGGUACUCAUGUGAUUAACAGAUGUUAGCUAGCUAACGGUGGUUAGUUGAAAAAGCAGGGGGAAAACAAUACAACAAAGUAAAACCAGCACAAAAUUGGACAGUAAAAUAAUGUACUUGAUGUAACGUAAGCCAUAUAGUUUUGUUUCUAGGCACUAAAUGCUGUCUUGCCACUAUUUUGCAAACAGAAAAGGAGUCUACACUUAAGACUGCUGAGCAGAAACUCUUGCAAGAGGGAACACCAAAAAGUAAGAAGAGAAAGAGGGGACCCAACAAAUUCUUCCUUGACACAGGAGGAAACUGUAGAACAAGUUGGAAAAAAGCCCAGUGGACACUUCAGAGGCACUUGAGGAGGAGAACAGGGCCCUUAGGGAGGAGAAUAAAAGACGAAGCUGAGUGGAGGAUCUCCCGCAGGCAGUAAAGAUCUUGAGACCCAAGUCAAGGCUUUAAAUAAGGAGAACACCAGGCUGCUCAACAUGACAGUUAAAGAAAUUCAAUCACUCUCAGUGGCUGUGAAGACCCUCAUUUCCAAUAAGAUCACAAGCUCAAGCUUGUCAAGCUAUGAAGGUGAAAGCGAAUAUGAGGCCAGUGUUGCUCUACCAUCACCUCAUCAACCCACAUCUCCCAAACCAACAUCUGGGAUGAUGACUCCACCAGAGUAUCCAGCCAUUGUUGGGAGACUGCAAAAGCCCAACCCACAGCGAAUGGAAUGGCCCGCACCCUCCUGCUGGGCCUGUUCAGCAUUGAUGUCCUACUGAAGUCCAACCUGACAGGAGGGAUGAACAAGGUCGAUCCAUCUGCAGAGAGACGUCAGCCUCUGGACCCCAAGAAGCUUAAAGCUUUACUCUAUGUAGUUGUUCAGCACCACCCAGGGGCGAAGCUUCCUGACAUAAGAAUAGCCAUAAACAAAAGGAUCUGUGAAUUAAGGCACCAGCAGAAGAAGUCCAUGGACAGCUGAAGGACUGGCACAGGGCCUUGAUAAAUUGGCAUGUGUGCACUUAAGGAUUGUUCUGUUUUUAUAACAAUAAAGAUUGUUUUCUGUUUUUUUCAUUUAUAGUUUUUUUCCCAUGUAUUGGAUUACAUACAAAUGUUGAAAACAAGUUAAAAGACAUGUUUUUAAAAAAAGAUUGUGUAGCCUGCUAACAUGUAAAGUACUAGAGACCAAAACUUGAGUAAAAGUAUUGUUAUGUGGUUAUUAAAGACAGCAGUCAAAAGUUUGAAUACCA